Molecule: long non-coding RNA, 3857 nt
Organism: Gorilla gorilla gorilla (western lowland gorilla)
Lineage: Eukaryota; Metazoa; Chordata; Mammalia; Primates; Hominidae
Exons: 3
Source: RefSeq, a predicted model, not a curated record
AGCUUCUCGGCUGCUUUGUUUACCUAAGCAAGCCUGGGCAAUGGCGGGCGCCCCUCCCCCAGCCUCGCUGCUGCCUUGCAGUUUGAUCUCAGACUGCUGUGCUAGCAAUCAGCGAGAUUCCGUGGGCGUAGGACCCUCCGAGCCAGGUGUGGGAUAUAGUCUGGUGGUGCGCCGUUUUUUAAGCCGGUCUGAAAAGCGCAAUAUUCGGGUAGGAGUGACCCGAUUUUCCAGGUGCGUCCGUCACCCCUUUCUUUGACUCGGAAAGGGAACUCCCUGACCCCUUGCGCUUCCCAAGUGAGGCACUGCCUCGCCCUGCUUCGGCUCGCGCACGGUGCGCGCACCCACUGGCCUGUGCCCACUGUCUGGCACUCCCUAGUGAGAUGAACCUGGUACCUCAGAUGGAAAUGCAGAAAUCACCGUCUUCUGCGUCGCUCACGCUGGGAGCUGUAGACCGGAGCUGUUCCUAUUCGGCCAUCUUGGCUCCUUAUUCUCAUGACCUUCUUGAGUUGUGGCUCAGACACUACAACAGAGCUCCGUCACCUCUUUCUAAAAGCUGGGAAAUGGUUAUUGUCAACGCCAGCCCCAUUUUGGAGGCACCUGGCUGCAGGGGACCACAGCUAGCUGGGUGCGGUGGCUCAGGACUGUAAUUCCAGCUACAUGAGAGGAUUGCUUGAAGCCAGGAGUUUGAGACCAGCCUGAACAACAUAAUAGACUGGGAGCUCCAUGAGGUCCGAGACAACCUGAAGACGCCCAGCUCAGCAGAGACUGGCUACGGCAGUCACUCAGUAACUAUUUGUUGAAUUGGACAUAAUAGAAGAGCUGAAGAAUUUUAAACAAGUCACCAUCAGUCCAGUGGAUUCCUCAAAGCAAACCUGGAAAUCUCAGCAUGAGUUGGAUUUAAGGCAGUACAUUUUCAGCUCCUGAAAAUUUGAACAGUUUCUCAAGAGAACAACUUGAAACAGAAAGGCAAGGAUGUAGAUAUGGUUGUAGAAGAUGAUGUCUGCAGCCACCAAACUGUCCACUGUGAAGAUAAACCAUGCAUGUUUAGUAGGCAGUGCUCCUCUUCCCUGUGGGGAGUCCCACUGCUUCCCUGGCCUGGGUGUUCUCUGCCGGUAGAUGUUAUUGACAAAAUAAGCAAAGUCCUCUGAUUCUGAGAAUUAGAGUUAAUGAUAGCUCUAGAUUGCCUCUGCCAUGCUAUUUAAAGUCCUGCUUUAUUGUCUGACAUGUGUUCGGCAUCUGUGAGGACUUGUCCAGUGCAAAGUACAAUCUCCACUGAAAGAUAUCACCAGCACAUCUUGUCACUGUGCUGCAGCAAGCUGGGCAGUACAAUGAUGUUGGCAGGAUCCUGUUUAGGUGGAGGAUGGCCACCUGGGCAUCAAGAAUCUUCUACCUUGAUUCCACAUUGAUUCCCCAAAGUGGGCUUCAGACAGCUCUUCACUUACAUCUUCUGAUUAAAGCAGCAGACAGGGUCCCAGCUAGAGAAAAGUUCUGGGAGCAGGAGAGGUGUUGGUGGCUUUAAAACCAGGGGUGAAGAUUGAAUUAGGAGGUUAGGCAGGAGUAGGAUCAAAGACUUAGAAAUUGCUUGUUUCCUCCUGUUAUUCUUAUGAGAGCUGAUACGGGGCUUUCAGUUUUGGGGGAGAGCCUUGGAAGAGAAUGAGGGAAUUUAAUCAACUAGCGGGACCUUUCCAACUUACAUUUCCCAGUGUUUGUUGGAUGAUACGUUUGCCUAAUAAGUUAAAGCUUCCAAAAAUAGAAAGGAAAGCUUGGUGACACUAAGCUCUGGCAUGCUGUCAUCUUCUGGCUAGGGGUCUUGUGCUUCUGUUUUUCUAUUUCUGACCGAGGACAUGAAAUGUGUUGUGACCUCUCAGAUAAUGCUGUGGUAUCAUGUCCAAGCAGUAACUAACCAGAGUGGAGUUUUUACAGGUAAAAAAGUAUUGAAUAGCUCAGCAACAGGGAGGAUUUAAUGAUAAAUUGCUUUUUCAGAAAAUGACAAGGGGACAGACACUUGCGGUUCUUCCAUUGAGAGCCUUAAGGAAGUUAAGCGAAGCCUCUGCUCACCCCUUCAAGUAACGAUGACCCAUCAGAUUGUAGUCAUAACCAGUAGCAUCUGAGGCACCCCUAAACUCUCUGGGCCCCAGAUUCCUUGUUAAGUUAAAUGAGGUGACUUCCCAGUUUACCAUUCCAGGGGUUCCUGAGGAGUUAGAAAUGAAGGAGAAAAUGCAACAUGUACCAAGUGAGCAAGAGCUCAAGGCUUAUCUCUGGCAUGAAAGUGACCGCUGUCCAUUAGAGAUGUGCUUGCCCUAGAUUUCCUUUAGGAAAUGCAAACAUUGAACUCUGACCUUCAGGACCCAAGCCCCGGCUUGCAUCUAUUCUAUACACUUUCUGUUAUUUGUUAGGGCUCACAAGGAACAGUUAUUUAUUUUUUAUUUUCUAUUUUUUUUUUUUUAGAGAUGGAGUCUCACUCUGUCUCCCAGGCUGGAGUUUAGUGGUGCCAUCUCAGCUCACUGCAACCUCCACCUCCCGGGUUCAAGCAAUUCUCCUGUCUCAGCCUCCUGAGUAGCUAGGACUACAGGCGUGUGCCAUCAUGCCCGGCUAAUUUUUAGUAUUUUUAGUAGAGGCAGGGUUUCACCAUAUUGGCCAGGCUGGUCUCGAACUCCUGAUCUCAAGUGAUCUACCCUCCUUGGCCUCCCAAACUGCUGGAAUUACAGAUGUGAGCGACCACACCCAGCCCAUUUGUUUUCUUUCAAACCCUUCUGUAAGACCAGGGCUUUAGGUGAACACGUGGACAGAACAAGAUCAUCACUAUUUUGCAAUAUGAAGACCAACUGCACUGUGACCAGAAAACACAGAGGCAAAAUGUUGAGCUUAAUGAUACCUUUUUAUAAUUUGUAUUUGGUGUUUCUCAAUUUUCCAUUGGAUAGUUUGAGAGAUAAGUACAAGUCAAUGACAUGUUCUCUUUCGUACCCUAUUGUCUAAUCCUGCUAACACACACACACACACACACUGAUUACCUAAUUUAUCUGUUCUCCGAUUAUUACACUCUCAAUUGCUGCAGAGUCUCAGAAGCAGCAUGGUGUAACAGAAAGAAUAUGAGGCUUAGAAUCCAAAAGCCAGAGUGUGAAUUCCAGCUCCACUGACUUGCUGCGUGACUUGAAGCAAGUCAUUACGUGUCUCUGUUUACUCAUUUUAUUACCUUCCUAUUGCCUCUGUAAUAUAGCACCACAAACGUGUGGACUUAAAACAACAUGCAUUUAUUCUCUUAGUGUUCUGGAGGUCAGGAGUCUGACAUCAAUUUCACUGGGCUAAAAUCAAGAUGUUGGUAGGACCAAGAUCCCCGUGGAGGCUCUGGGAGAACCCAUUUCCUUGCCUUUGCCAGCUUCUAAUGCUGCAUUCCUUGCAUUCCUUGAUUGUUGACCUCUUCCCCCAUCUUCAAAGCCAGCAGAACAGCACCUUGUUUCAUGGCCUUCUUUACUGUCAAAUCUCCCUCUGCCUUCUUCUUAUAAGAACACUUGUGGUUGCAUUUAGAGGCUGUGAUAAUCCAGAAUAAUAUCUUUAUCUCAAGAUCUUUGACUUAGUCUCUUCUGCAAAGUCUCUUUUGCCACAGAGGGAAAUAUUCACAGGUCCCAGGGGUCAGGCUGUGUACAUCUUUGGGGGACUUUAUUCUGCCUACCACACUCAUCUUUUUUUUUUUUUUUUUGGAUGGAGUCUCGCUCUGUCACCCAGGCUGGAGUGCAGUGGCAUGAUCUCGGCUCACUGCAACUUCUGCCUCCCCAGUUCAAGCAAUUCUCCUGCCUCAACCUCCCAAGUAGCUGGAAUUACAGGCGCCUGCCACCACGCCCGGCUACUUUUUGUACUUU